GACGUAGGGUGCAAGCGUUGUCCGGAAUUAUUGGGCGUAAAGAGCUCGUAGGCGGUCUGUCGCGUCGGAUGUGAAAACCCAGGGCUCAACCCUGGGCCUGCAUUCGAUACGGGCAGACUAGAGUUCGGUAGGGGAGACUGGAAUUCCUGGGGUAGCGGUGAAAUGCGCAGAUAUCAGGAGGAACACCGGUGGCGAAGGCGGGUCUCUGGGCCGAAACUGACGCUGAGGAGCGAAAGCGUGGGGAGCAAACAGG
This 253-nucleotide ribosomal RNA is filed under the name uncultured bacterium. RNAcentral describes it as "partial 16S ribosomal RNA". It matches the Rfam family "Bacterial small subunit ribosomal RNA", at positions 524 to 776 of the family's 1533-position model. The record is from RNAcentral.